Long non-coding RNA from Sander lucioperca (pikeperch), 152 nucleotides. RefSeq lists it as uncharacterized. NCBI's taxonomy places the organism in Eukaryota, Metazoa, Chordata, Actinopteri, Perciformes, Percidae. The transcript has 3 exons. The record is from RefSeq and is a predicted model, not a curated record.
ACACACACACACACACACACACACACACACACACACACACACACUCAAAGAUUACUUGAUUGAGCUUGACAAAGUCAUUGAAAAACAAACCAUAAUUGGCCAUGUUCUUGGGUUAGAAAAUGGGGAGUGUGUUCUAGGGCUGUCCGUGACUA